GUUUCUCUUCUCACUUUUACGCCUUUUUUUCCCUGCCGUCAUUGUGCUCAUUUCUGCAAAUCGUUUUCUCCGCCUGACUAGUCUUUCGCUCGCUAUCGCGUUUAUUCCUGAUAACCCUUUUCUUCUUCUUCUUUGUUCGUUUAAAGUUUUGAUUGAUUCUCUCCUAUAAAGACACAGAUGGAUAGGUAGAUAUGAAGCGCAUAUAAGGGAUAACAGCGAUUGUCGCUGCAUUUGCCGAGUACAUCAUAGAAGGGAGGAAGGUGCCUUAUCAACUUUUUAUUGAAAAUAUAAAAUCUAGAUAUUGUAUAUUGUUGUAUUUUCAUGCAAAGUCAAAGAAACCACCAAUGGCGAUAACCGAUUUUCAAGCUACACCAAAUAUAGAAGAAGGUAAAGGAGAAAAAAAGAAGAUUAAAGCAAAGAUUAAAGACAUUGAAGCUGCACCAACGGUAGAAGCAUGCAAAAAGAAAAGAAAAAUUAUUAUUAUAGAGAAAACGUAGUGAUGUUAUAUAAUUAUAA
Long non-coding RNA from Mercurialis annua (annual mercury), 516 nucleotides. RefSeq lists it as uncharacterized. NCBI's taxonomy places the organism in Eukaryota, Viridiplantae, Streptophyta, Magnoliopsida, Malpighiales, Euphorbiaceae. The record is from RefSeq and is a predicted model, not a curated record. The transcript is spliced from 3 exons.